GAGGGUAUAGCUCAGUGAUACAGUGCUUGCUUAGCAUACAUGGUGUUCUGGAUUCAAUCCCCAGUACCUCCA
RNAcentral lists this transfer RNA (72 nucleotides) under Camelus bactrianus (Bactrian camel). It matches the Rfam family "tRNA". From Rfam's summary of the family: Transfer RNA (tRNA) molecules are approximately 80 nucleotides in length. Their secondary structure includes four short double-helical elements and three loops (D, anti-codon, and T loops). Further hydrogen bonds mediate the characteristic L-shaped molecular structure. tRNAs have two regions of fundamental functional importance: the anti-codon, which is responsible for specific mRNA codon recognition, and the 3' end, to which the tRNAs corresponding amino acid is attached (by aminoacyl-tRNA synthetases). tRNAs cope with the degeneracy of the genetic code in two manners: having more than one tRNA (with a specific anti-codon) for a particular amino acid; and 'wobble' base-pairing, i.e. permitting non-standard base-pairing at the 3rd anti-codon position. The record is from Rfam by way of RNAcentral. RNAcentral also lists the same sequence under 1 other name. Lineage: Eukaryota; Metazoa; Chordata; Mammalia; Artiodactyla; Camelidae.